RNAcentral lists this ribosomal RNA (442 nucleotides) under uncultured bacterium. RNAcentral's name for it is "partial 16S ribosomal RNA". It matches the Rfam family "Bacterial small subunit ribosomal RNA", at positions 338 to 795 of the family's 1533-position model. The record is from RNAcentral.
CCUACGGGAGGCAGCAGUGGGGAAUAUUGGACAAUGGGGGGAACCCUGAUCCAGCGACGCCGCGUGAGUGAAGAAGUAUUUCGGUAUGUAAAGCUCUAUCAGCAGGGAAGAAAGAAAUGACGGUACCUGACUAAGAAGCCCCGGCUAACUACGUGCCAGCAGCCGCGGUAAUACGUAGGGGGCAAGCGUUAUCCGGAUUUACUGGGGGUAAAGGGAGCGUAGACGGCGAUGCAAGUCUGAAGUGAAAGGCGGGGCCCAACCCCCGGACUGCUUUGGAAACUGUAUGGCUGGAGUGCAGGAGAGGGAAGUGGAAUUUCUAGUGUAGCGGUGAAAUGCGUAGAUAUUAGGAGGAACACCAGUGGCGAAGGCGGCUUACUGGACUGUAACUGACGUUGAGGCUCGAAAGCGUGGGGAGCAAACAGGAUUAGAUACCCUAGUAGUC